This 119-nucleotide ribosomal RNA is filed under the name Scleropages formosus (Asian bonytongue). Lineage: Eukaryota; Metazoa; Chordata; Actinopteri; Osteoglossiformes; Osteoglossidae. The record is from RNAcentral.
CACUACGGCCAUACCACCCUGAAUAUGCCUGAUCUUGUCCGAUUUCAGAAGCUAAACAGGGUCGGGUCUGGUUACUACUUGGAUGGGAGACCACCUGGGAAUACCAGGUGCUGUAAAUG